CUAACCACCUGAGCUAUGAUCCC
RNAcentral lists this transfer RNA (23 nucleotides) under Borreliella burgdorferi (Lyme disease spirochete). RNAcentral's name for it is "partial tRNA-Ile". RNAcentral also lists the same sequence under 13 other names. Lineage: Bacteria; Pseudomonadati; Spirochaetota; Spirochaetia; Spirochaetales; Borreliaceae. The record is from RNAcentral.